Salmo salar (Atlantic salmon) is the source of this 982-nucleotide non-coding RNA. The record is from RefSeq and is a predicted model, not a curated record. Lineage: Eukaryota; Metazoa; Chordata; Actinopteri; Salmoniformes; Salmonidae.
UUAUUAUUUUUUUAAACAAGUUAUUUUUUUCAUUUCACUUCACCAAUUUGGACUAUUUUGUGUAUGUCCAUUACAUGAAAUCCAAAUUAAAAUCCAUUUAAAUUACAGGUUGUAAUGCAACAAAAUAGGAAAAAUGCCAAGGGGGAUGAAUACUUUUGCAAGGCACUGUAACCGCUGAUGAUAUAAAUGAAUGAGGAAACAAGUAGAAGAUAAGUAUUCAGCUCUCUCCCUCACACACACCAACAAGGCACUCUGACAACCCACAAGAUGGAGAAAUUCCUACUAGUACUUGUGAUGAUUACAACAUGCUGUGCUGUAACUCAAGGAUCAGGAUUCGUUCAGCGGGCGUUUCAACUAGCAUUAGUCAUUUGUUGGCCUGCUAACAGACGUCCACUUUUGGGACUACGUGCUGUCUCCCUGUGAGACCCAGAGGUGCACCAACCAGAUGAACUUGACCACCGGCGACAUGCUCAACGGGAAGGCCUUGGACAUCCAGACUACAGGCAGAACAGGCAAUCAGACUGUAACCAUUAUCACUCAAACAAAUAAUAAUGAGUGUCUAUUAUGCUAUCUGGUAACUUUCCAUAAUUGUGUAAAUUGAAAAGGCCAUAUCACGAUAUGUCUUUCAGCUGACAGUAUACCGUAAGAAACUGACAAUGUAAAUAAACUGUGUCGGUUGCGUGAUUUAGCUGUCAGUGGUUCUAUCAUGCUAGGAUAAAUAUAACCUUGUUACGGAUGACAGAGCUGCUCUAAGUCGUGAAAUUAAACAUUAGUGCAAAGGCAGGAUGUAAGCCAGUGUGUUUCACAAUGUUACUGGUGUAGUUACAACUUAAUACCAUCCUGAAGAUAUGCACUGAUAUCUAAUUUUGUAGAUCAGCAUUCAUUCAUGCACUAUACACACACACACACACACACACACACACACACACACACACACACACACACACACACACACACACACACACACAUAAAUCAGAACCAU